RNAcentral lists this ribosomal RNA (841 nucleotides) under uncultured bacterium. Its description in RNAcentral is "bacterial SSU rRNA". It matches the Rfam family "Bacterial small subunit ribosomal RNA", at positions 26 to 898 of the family's 1533-position model. The record is from RNAcentral.
AGAAUCAACGCUGGCGGCGUGCCUAACACAUGCAAGUCGCACGAGAAAGUGGAGCAAUCCAUGAGUAAAGUGGCGCACGGGUGAGUAACACGUGAAUCAUCUACCUCCGAGUGGGGAAUAACUGAGAGAAAUCUUGGCUAAUACCGCAUAAUACCCACGGGUCAAAGCAGCAAUGCGCUUGGAGAGGAGUUCGCGGCAGAUUAGCUAGUUGGCGGGGUAAUGGCCCACCAAGGCGAUGAUCUGUAUCCGGCCUGAGAGGGCGCACGGACACACUGGAACUGAAACACGGUCCAGACUCCUACGGGAGGCAGCAGUGGGGAAUUUUGCGCAGUGGGGGAAACCCUGACGCAGCAACGCCGCGUGGAGGAUGAAGCCCCUUGGGGUGUAAACUCCUUUCGAUCGGGAAGAUUAUGACGGUACCGAUAUAAGAAGCCCCGGCUAACUUCGUGCCAGCAGCCGCGGUAAUACGAGGGGGGCGAGCGUUGUUCGGAAUUAUUGGGCGUAAAGGGUGCGUAGGCGGUGCGGUAAGUCUUCUGUGAAAUCUCCGGGCUCAACCCGGAGCCUGCAGAGGAAACUGCCGUGCUGGAGUAUGGGAGAGGUGAGUGGAAUUCCCGGUGUAGCGGUGAAAUGCGUAGAUAUCGGGAGGAACACCUGUGGCGAAAGCGGCUCACUGGACCAUUACCGACGCUGAUGCACGAAAGCUAGGGGAGCAAACAGGAUUAGAUACCCUGGUAGUCCUAGCCCUAAACGAUGAUCGCUUGGUGUGACAGGUACCCAAUCCUGUCGUGCCGGAGCUAACGCGUUAAGCGAUCCGCCUGGGGAGUACGGUCGCAAGGCUGAA